Molecule: ribosomal RNA, 253 nt
Filed under: uncultured bacterium
Lineage: Bacteria
Description: partial 16S ribosomal RNA
Rfam family: Bacterial small subunit ribosomal RNA
Source: RNAcentral
UACAGAGGUCUCAACCGUUGUUCGGAUUCAUUGGGCGUAAAGGGUGCGUAGGCGGUCGCGCAAGUCGGAUAUGGAAUCUCGGGGCUCAACCCCGAAACUGCAUUCGAUACUGCGUGGCUCGAGUGCUGGAGAGGAGACUGGAAUUUACGGUGUAGCAGUGAAAUGCGUAGAUAUCGUAAGGAAGACCAGUGGCGAAGGCGAGUCUCUGGACAGCAACUGACGCUGAGGCACGAAAGCUAGGGGAGCAAACAGG